UACCAGCACCCCGAGUGGUCGGGACGUUUAUUGGGCCUAAAGCAUCCGUAGCCGGUUCUACAAGUCUUCCGUUAAAUCCAACUGCUUAACAGGUGGGCUGCGGAAGAUACUAUAGAGCUAGGAGGCGGGAGAGGCAAGCGGUACUCGAUGGGUAGGGGUAAAAUCCGUUGAUCCAUUGAAGACCACCAGUGGCGAAGGCGGCUCACUGGCCUGAUACUGACGCUGAGGCACGAAAGCGUGGGGAGCAAACAGG
RNAcentral lists this ribosomal RNA (253 nucleotides) under uncultured bacterium. RNAcentral describes it as "partial 16S ribosomal RNA". It matches the Rfam family "Archaeal small subunit ribosomal RNA", at positions 474 to 727 of the family's 1478-position model. The record is from RNAcentral.